This is a long non-coding RNA of Drosophila miranda, 968 nucleotides long. RefSeq lists it as uncharacterized. NCBI's taxonomy places the organism in Eukaryota, Metazoa, Arthropoda, Insecta, Diptera, Drosophilidae. The transcript has 2 exons. The record is from RefSeq and is a predicted model, not a curated record.
UUUCUCGAUAGCUAGCACACUAUCGUGCGUGGCCUGUGAUCUCGUUCUACAAACACACAUGGAACAUGUACCAAUGUUUUUUUACACUAUUUCCGAGUAGGUUUUGUAGUCCAUCUCUACGAAAUGCAAUUUCUUGAUAUGAAAUGUUCAGCAGAUGUUCAGAUACUAUCGAUAGGGACAAAAAGUGACACCAAAACAUCGGUCUGAAGCUAGGUACUCGAUAAUGUACUUGUUCCUACUAUCGAUGGAUCGAUGCCGGUCUGGUCUCCUCUCUAGUUUGACAGCUGUAACUUUUCUCUAAGUUUCAUUUUUUCUUCACAAAAUCAAAAUUUCUUGUUUAGGCUUAAAAAAGUAUUCAAAUUUUGUUUGAAAUCAAUUGUCGGGGCGUGCCCGAGCCGCGUUGCGGCACUCCCCGGCGACAGUGAGGAAAAACCAUUGAAUAGGGUGCAUAUUUCAGCAGAAACAAAUCGAAAAGACGGUAAAACACGCCCGAAGCAAGGGCAGAUACAGGAGCGGGAUCUUGAUGGUGGGUUGGCCAUGUCCUCGAUUGCUUCAAGGCGACCAGAGCUGCAACAAUCGCCGCACAUCACCCUCGGGCAUCACCCAGAACACGCUGUAGAUCCUCGAUCGGUCGGUCAUAGAAGGCAACGGAAUGCGUAGUAAUGUUAACAUUCUGCAAAUUCUUGCUGCCCGUGAUGACUGAGACGCUGCGGUUGCUGGCAGCAUAUGUCGAAUGUAAUGGACCGCUGCAUCCAUGCUAUAAAGAUGUGCAUGCCAUCGCCCACCACAUGCUCUUUGAGGUCGAUGAAGCGGUUGGAAAUCACAGCCCGAGGGCCCACCUCAACAUUAUAUACAUUAUACGAUAUACGAUACACAAAUUUUCCAGCCAUAGCACACACAAAAAACCCAGUAGCCAUGUGACAUUUGUCUAUAACAAAAUACAAAAUGCCGAAAACCAAUUAUUAAUA